GAACCUGCGGAAGGAUCAUUAUCGAGUUUUGAACGGGUUGUAGCUGGCCUCAUACGGGGCAUGUGCACGCCUGGCUCAUCCACUCUUCAACCUCUGUGCACUUAUUGUAGAUCGGUGAUAAGGUCGAGUUCUUUCACGAGUUCUUGGCUGGAAAACCUUUCUACGUUUUUACCACAAACGCUUCAGUUAUAGAAUGUUUAUCUGCGUAUAACGCAUCUUUAUACAACUUUCAGCAACGGAUCUCUUGGCUCUCGCAUCGAUGAAGAACGCAGCGAAAUGCGAUAAGUAAUGUGAAUUGCAGAAUUCAGUGAAUCAUCGAAUCUUUGAACGCACCUUGCGCUCCCUGGUAUUCCGGGGAGCAUGCCUGUUUGAGUGUCAUGGAAUUCUCAACUCUUAAUACUUUUUUGUAUCAAGAGCUUGGACUUGGAGGCUUGUGCUGGCUGCUCGUUCAGUCGGCUCCUCUGAAAUGCAUUAGCGUGAAUUAAUAUGGAUCGCUUCGGUGUGAUAAUUAUCUGCGCCGUAGUCGUGAAGUACUUGAUAACGUUUACGCUUCUAAUCGUCCUUCACGGGACAAUUAAACCCUGACUUUUUGACCUCAAAUCAGGUAGGACUACCCGCUGAACUUAAGCAUAUCAU
This 636-nucleotide ribosomal RNA is filed under the name Phlebiopsis flavidoalba. Its description in RNAcentral is "eukaryotic LSU rRNA". The stretch from base 225 to 378 matches the Rfam family "5.8S ribosomal RNA". Lineage: Eukaryota; Fungi; Basidiomycota; Agaricomycetes; Polyporales; Phanerochaetaceae. The record is from RNAcentral.